CCCAGACUCCUACGGGAGGCAGCAGUGAGGAAUAUUGGUCAAUGGGCGCGAGCCUGAACCAGCCAAGUCGCGUGAGGGAAGACGGUCCUAUGGAUUGUAAACCUCUUUUGUCGGGGAGCAAAAGACGCCACGUGUGGCGUUCCGAGAGUACCCGAAGAAAAAGCAUCGGCUAACUCCGUGCCAGCAGCCGCGGUAAUACGGAGGAUGCGAGCGUUAUCCGGAUUUAUUGGGUUUAAAGGGUGCGUAGGCGGACGCUUAAGUCGGCGGUAAAAUUGCGGGGCUCAACCUCGUCGAGCCGUUGAAACUGGGUGCCUUGAGUGGGCGAGAAGAAGGCGGAAUGCGUGGUGUAGCGGUGAAAUGCAUAGAUAUCACGCAGAACCCCGAUUGCGAAGGCAGCCUUCCGGCGCCCUACUGACGCUGAGGCACGAAAGUGCGGGGAUCGAACAGGAUUAGAUACCCCAGUACCG
Molecule: ribosomal RNA, 467 nt
Filed under: uncultured bacterium
Lineage: Bacteria
Description: bacterial SSU rRNA
Rfam family: Bacterial small subunit ribosomal RNA
Source: RNAcentral